GUAGGGAAUAUUGGGCAAUGGUCGGAAGACUGACCCAGCCAUGCCGCGUGCAGGAAGACGGCCCUCUGGGUUGUAAACUGCUUUUAUCUGGGAAGAAAAAGGCCAUGCGUGGCAAAUUGCCGGUACCAGAUGAAUAAGCACCGGCUAACUCCGUGCCAGCAGCCGCGGUAAUACGGAGGGUGCGAGCGUUGUCCGGAUUUAUUGGGUUUAAAGGGUGCGUAGGCGGCUGAUUAAGUCAGCGGUGAAAGACUUCGGCUUAACCGGAGCAGUGCCGGUGAUACUGGUUGGCUUGAGUGUCGGAGGGGUACAUGGAAUUGAUGGUGUAGCGGUGAAAUGCAUAGAUACCAUCAGGAACACCGAUAGCGAAGGCAUUGUACUGGCCGACAACUGACGCUGAUGCACGAAAGUGUGGGGAUCGAACAGGAUUAGAAACCCCAGUAGUCC
RNAcentral lists this ribosomal RNA (444 nucleotides) under uncultured bacterium. Its description in RNAcentral is "partial 16S ribosomal RNA". It matches the Rfam family "Bacterial small subunit ribosomal RNA", at positions 354 to 796 of the family's 1533-position model. The record is from RNAcentral.